This 305-nucleotide ribosomal RNA is filed under the name uncultured bacterium. RNAcentral's name for it is "bacterial SSU rRNA". It matches the Rfam family "Bacterial small subunit ribosomal RNA", at positions 335 to 639 of the family's 1533-position model. The record is from RNAcentral.
GUCCUACGGGGCGCAGCAGUGAGGAAUAUUGGUCAAUGGGCGGAAGCCUGAACCAGCCAAGUCGCGUGAGGGAUGACGGCCCUACGGGUUGUAAACCUCUUUUGUCGGGGAGCAAGACCCGCCACGAGUGGCGGAGCGAGAGUACCCGAAGAAAAAGCAUCGGCUAACUCCGUGCCAGCAGCCGCGGUAAUACGGAGGAUGCGAGCGUUAUCCGGAUUUAUUGGGUUUAAAGGGUGCGCAGGCGGACCAUCAAGUCAGCGGUAAAAUCGUGGGGCCCAACCCCAUCCCGCCGUUGAAAAUGGCGG